Molecule: ribosomal RNA, 637 nt
Filed under: uncultured marine bacterium
Lineage: Bacteria
Description: bacterial SSU rRNA
Rfam family: Bacterial small subunit ribosomal RNA
Source: RNAcentral
AGAGUUUGAUCAUGGCUCAGGACGAUCGCUGGCGGCGUGCCUAAUACAUGCAAGUCGAGCGAAUCGACGGGAGCUUGCUCCCUGAGAUUAGCGGCGGACGGGUGAGUAACACGUGGGCAACCUGCCUAUAAGACUGGGAUAACUUCGGGAAACCGGAGCUAAUACCGGAUACGUUCUUUUCUCGCAUGAGAGAAGAUGGAAAGACGGUUUACGCUGUCACUUAUAGAUGGGCCCGCGGCGCAUUAGCUAGUUGGUGAGGUAAUGGCUCACCAAGGCGACGAUGCGUAGCCGACCUGAGAGGGUGAUCGGCCACACUGGGACUGAGACACGGCCCAGACUCCUACGGGAGGCAGCAGUAGGGAAUCUUCCGCAAUGGACGAAAGUCUGACGGAGCAACGCCGCGUGAACGAAGAAGGCCUUCGGGUCGUAAAGUUCUGUUGUUAGGGAAGAACAAGUACCAGAGUAACUGCUGGUACCUUGACGGUACCUAACCAGAAAGCCACGGCUAACUACGUGCCAGCAGCCGCGGUAAUACGUAGGUGGCAAGCGUUGUCCGGAAUUAUUGGGCGUAAAGCGCGCGCAGGUGGUUCCUUAAGUCUGAUGUGAAAGCCCACGGCUCAACCCGUGGAGGGUCAUU